Molecule: long non-coding RNA, 464 nt
Organism: Hemicordylus capensis (graceful crag lizard)
Lineage: Eukaryota; Metazoa; Chordata; Lepidosauria; Squamata; Cordylidae
Exons: 3
Source: RefSeq, a predicted model, not a curated record
ACUGUAUAUGCAGUGAUCAAGGGAAAUAAUUUGAAUCUUGGCUGCUCCAGGAAGUCUGCCGACAGCUCCAGAUUACCAAGGUGAAGACUAGUGUGGCCCAUCCUGCGAGCAAUGGGGGCACAGAUGAGACUUCUGUCCCUCUUUGCACCUGGUCACUGGAGCUCAUGUUCAUCUGGAUUACAAGAAGAAACACCUUUGCACACAGUGACAGAUGGCUGGGUCUCUAAAAUCAACACUGUAUAUUCUUUAUUUUGGACACCUCUGUGGAACAUAAAGAAUGUCUCCUCUAUAUAACACUGCAACUCCAAAGAAUGCACCUCAUCCUUCAGCAGAGAGAACAUAUACAGGAAUGGAAAUUGAAUCUGCAUGAGGUUACUGUUUCAUAGCAAUCCUCCACUCAGUUGGUUACUUUAGGACUCAAUCAGAAGUAUGGGAAGAGUUUUUUUGUUAAAUACAGUACCUUU